Non-coding RNA from Meleagris gallopavo (turkey), 312 nucleotides. The record is from RefSeq and is a predicted model, not a curated record. Lineage: Eukaryota; Metazoa; Chordata; Aves; Galliformes; Phasianidae.
UCCCACACUGCCGGUCUCGGACAGUGGAAUGCAGGCAGCACCAACAACUGGCAUGCCAGGGCUGAAUGCCGGGAAAAGCACAGAGGCUGCUGUUCACAAAUCUGUGCGGAAGCGCUACAUCGCAGCCGUGGUGAUGUUCCCAACUGCGGUGCUGGCCUGUGGUGCUGUGAUAUGGAUGUGCAAAAAAUACCUAGUGUGCAAGAGAGAAGAGACAACAGCAGAACAAGCUCAUCCUGAGACCAAGUAGAGAGAGUUCCAACUGGAGAUGAGGGCCGAAUGGAGCUGGGUGAGGCAACAGAAGAGACUCUCGCC